RNAcentral lists this ribosomal RNA (254 nucleotides) under uncultured bacterium. RNAcentral's name for it is "partial 16S ribosomal RNA". It matches the Rfam family "Bacterial small subunit ribosomal RNA", at positions 524 to 776 of the family's 1533-position model. The record is from RNAcentral.
UACGGGGGGAGCAAGCGUUGUUCGGAUUUACGGGGCGUAAAGGGCGCGUGGGCGGUCAGCACAAGUCAGUUGUGAAAUCUCCGGGCUUAACUCGGAAAGGUCAACUGAUACUGUGCGACUAGAGUGCGGAAGGGGCAACUGGAAUUCUCGGUGUAGCGGUGAAAUGCGUAGAUAUCUGGAGGAAUACCGGUGGCGAAGGCGGCAUCCUGGACCGGCAUUGACGCUGAUGAGCGAAAGCGUGGGGAGCGAACAGG